Molecule: ribosomal RNA, 159 nt
Filed under: Olea europaea subsp. europaea
Lineage: Eukaryota; Viridiplantae; Streptophyta; Magnoliopsida; Lamiales; Oleaceae
Description: 5.8S ribosomal RNA
Rfam family: 5.8S ribosomal RNA
About the family: 5.8S ribosomal RNA (5.8S rRNA) is a component of the large subunit of the eukaryotic ribosome. It is transcribed by RNA polymerase I as part of the 45S precursor that also contains 18S and 28S rRNA. Functionally, it is thought that 5.8S rRNA may be involved in ribosome translocation.
Source: Rfam by way of RNAcentral
GACUCUCGACAAUGGAUAUCUCAACUCUUGCAUUGAUAAGAACGCAUCAAAAUACAAUACUUGGUGUGAAUUGUAGAAUCCAAUGAAUCAUCAAAAUUUUGAACUCAUGUUAAUUACACCCAAAGCCAUUAUGCUAAGGGCAUGUUUGUCAAGACAUCA